AACGCUAGCGGCAGGCCUAACACAUGCAAGUCGAACGGUAACAGGGAUUGCUUGCAAUCCGCUGACGAGUGGCGCACGGGUGAGUAACGCGUAUGCAAUCUGCCUUUAACUGAGAGAUAGCCCAGAGAAAUUUGGAUUAAUACCUCAUAAUAUUGUGAUUUGGCAUCACUUCACAAUUAAAGCUUCGGCGGUUAAAGAUGAGCAUGCGUCCUAUUAGCUUGUUGGUAAGGUAACGGCUUACCAAGGCAACGAUAGGUAGGGGGCCUGAAAGGGUGAUCCCCCACACUGGUACUGAGACACGGACCAGACUCCUACGGGAGGCAGCAGUGAGGAAUAUUGCGCAAUGGAGGAAACUCUGACGCAGCCAUGCCGCGUGCAGGAAGACGGCCCUACGGGUUGUAAACUGCUUUUAUAUAGGAAGAAACACCGAUACGUGUAUCGGCUUGACAGUACUAUAUGAAUAAGGACCGGCUAACUCCGUGCCAGCAGCCGCGGUAAUACGGAGGGUCCAAGCGUUAUCCGGAUUUAUUAGGUUUAAAGGGUCCGCAGGCGGGAUUUUAAGUCAGUGGUGAAAGCCUACAGCUCAACUGUAGAACUGCCAUUGAUACUGAAAUUCUUGAGUGUGGUUGAAGUGGGCGGAACAUGUCAUGUAGCGGUGAAAUGCAUAGAUAUGACAUAGAACACCAAUUGCGAAGGCAGCUCACUAAGCCAUUACUGACGCUGAGGGACGAAAGCGUGGGGAGCGAACAGGAUUAGAUACCCUGGUAGUCCACGCCGUAAACGAUGAUCACUCGUUGCUAGCGAUACACUGUUAGUGACCAAGCGAAAGUGUUAAGUGAUCCACCUGGGAAGUACGUUCGCA
RNAcentral lists this ribosomal RNA (862 nucleotides) under uncultured Bacteroidota bacterium. RNAcentral describes it as "bacterial SSU rRNA". It matches the Rfam family "Bacterial small subunit ribosomal RNA", at positions 32 to 890 of the family's 1533-position model. The record is from RNAcentral. Lineage: Bacteria; Pseudomonadati; Bacteroidota.